This 25-nucleotide microRNA is filed under the name Equus caballus (horse). Its description in RNAcentral is "eca-miR-8998". The record is from miRBase by way of RNAcentral. Lineage: Eukaryota; Metazoa; Chordata; Mammalia; Perissodactyla; Equidae.
UUAAGUUCACGCACUCUGGGAUUUC